This 500-nucleotide ribosomal RNA is filed under the name uncultured bacterium. RNAcentral describes it as "partial 16S ribosomal RNA". It matches the Rfam family "Bacterial small subunit ribosomal RNA", at positions 30 to 523 of the family's 1533-position model. The record is from RNAcentral.
AUUGAACGCUGGCGGCAUGCCCUACACAUGCAAGUCGAACGGCAGCACGGAAGCAAUCCUGGUGGCGAGUGGCGAACGGGUGAGUAAAGUAUCGGAACGUGCCCAGUCGUGGGGGAUAACGUAGCGAAAGUUACGCUAAUACCGCAUACGAUCUAUGGAUGAAAGCGGGGGAUCGCAAGAACUCGCGCGAUUGGAGCGGCCGAUAUCAGAUUAGGUAGUUGGUGGGGUAAAGGCUCACCAAGCCGACGAUCUGUAGCUGGUCUGAGAGGACAACCAGCCACACUGGGACUGAGACACGGCCCAGACUCCUACGGGAGGCAGCAGUGGGGAAUUUUGGACAAUGGGCGAAAGCCUGAUCCAGCCAUGCCGCGUGCAGGAUGAAGGCCUUCGGGUUGUAAACUGCUUUUGUACGGAACGAAAAGGUUUGGGCUAAUAAGCUGAGCUCAUGACGGUACCGUAAGAAUAAGCACUGGCUAACUACGUGCCAGCAGCCGCAGUAA